This 433-nucleotide ribosomal RNA is filed under the name uncultured bacterium. RNAcentral describes it as "partial 16S ribosomal RNA". It matches the Rfam family "Bacterial small subunit ribosomal RNA", at positions 29 to 507 of the family's 1533-position model. The record is from RNAcentral.
AACGAACGCUGGCGGCAGGCCUAACACAUGCAAGUCGAGCGAGCAUUUCGGUGCUAGCGGCGGACGGGUGAGUAACGCGUGGGAACGUGCCCUUUUCUGCGGAAUAGUCCUGGGAAACUGGGGGUAAUACCGCAUACGCCCUUUUGGGGAAAGAUUUAUCGGGGAAGGAUCGGCCCGCGUUGGAUUAGGUGGUUGGUGGGGUAAUGGCCCACCAAGCCGACGAUCCAUAGCUGGUUUGAGAGGAUGAUCAGCCACACUGGGACUGAGACACGGCCCAGACUCCUACGGGAGGCAGCAGUGGGGAAUCUUAGACGAUGGGGGCAACCCUGAUCUAGCCAUGCCGGGUGAGUGAUGAAGGCCUUAGGGUUGUAAAGCUCUUUCAGCUGGGAAGAUAAUGACGGUACCAGCAGAAGAAGCCCCGGCUAACUCCGUG